RNAcentral lists this ribosomal RNA (530 nucleotides) under Archimonocelis sp. 214386059. RNAcentral describes it as "SSU rRNA". It matches the Rfam family "Eukaryotic small subunit ribosomal RNA", at positions 78 to 604 of the family's 1831-position model. RNAcentral also lists the same sequence under 1 other name. Lineage: Eukaryota; Metazoa; Platyhelminthes; Proseriata; Archimonocelididae. The record is from RNAcentral.
ACGGUGAAACCGCGAAUGGCUCAUUAAAUCAGCUAUGGUUCCUUAGAUCAUACUAUCCUACUUGGAUAACUGUAGUAAUUCUAGAGCUAAUACAUGCAACAAAGCCCUUCUCUUACGGAAGGGCGCACUUAUUAGAUCAAAACCAAUCGGAGCUUGCUCCGCAGUUUUGAUGACUCUGGAUAAUUUUUCUGAUCGCACGGCCUUUGCGUCGGCGACGUAUCUUUCAAAUGUCUGCCCUAUCAACUUUAGAUGGUAGGUGAUUUGCCUACCAUGGUUAUAACGGGUAACGGGGAAUCAGGGUUCGAUUCCGGAGAGGGAGCCUGAGAAACAGCUACCACAUCCAAGGAAGGCAGCAGGCGCGUAAAUUACCCACUCUCAGAACGAGGAGGUAGUGACGAAAAAUAACGAUGCGGGACUCAAAUGAGGCCCCGUAAUUGGAAUGAGUACACUUUAAAUCCUUUAACGAGGAUCAAUUGGAGGGCAAGUCUGGUGCCAGCAGCCGCGGUAAUUCCAGCUCCAAUAGCGUAUAU